Molecule: non-coding RNA, 2710 nt
Organism: Malus domestica (apple)
Lineage: Eukaryota; Viridiplantae; Streptophyta; Magnoliopsida; Rosales; Rosaceae
Source: RefSeq, a predicted model, not a curated record
AUCAUUUUAAAAACAAGUCCAAUGAGCCUUGAGCCUAACCAAUUGUCCAUACAAAAGUUCAGAAUAACCUUUGAAUUAAACGACAACACAAAGAGUACCGAACCAAACGUACAAGAUAGUAAGAUACAACUGAAAAGUCGGAAACCAUGCCCACCUCCGAAGCUCAAGAAUUAUACUUACACUCGAAUACAGAGUUGUAGUCCCACUCCCUAUUCCCUAAACACUUCUUCCAUGGCGUCCGUACUCGGAAGUUGCUCGACAGCAGCAACUUUGGCCCCUCGACAUCUCUCAUCUCGCACUUCCAGGACUUCAAUUCCCUCUCUCUAUAUGCCCAGGGAAGAGUUCUGGGAGGAAGUUUUAUGGAGGGAUUGGGAUUCGUGGAAAGAAAAGGUCUCAAUUCCAUGUGACCAAUGUUGCUACUGAAAUCCCCUUCUGAGCAGGUAAUGUCUCAGCAGUCUAUGGAAAUGCAGCUUUGAGCAAGCGUUGAGCUGUCCACUUUGCUCACAAAGGGAUUUAUCUUCACCCAAACAAGAGAGAAGACAGAGGCCAAGAGCACUGACCACAAAAUAACGAUGGUUGGAGUCCGGUUUUGGCGUCCCAUGAGACCUUUGAGGAAGGGAUAGAGAUGAAGAAUCACCCAGAAGGCGAAGAAAACCUUCCCGAAAAGUGGCCCCAAGCUUCGUAUCCCUUGUUAAGGGCGUCUAAAGCUAAUCUAAUCUGGACUACCAAAAUCAUGAACUAUCAAUUUUCCAUCUUUUCAAUUUCUACAGAGCACCCAUUUCCUUCCUGCAAAUGGAUCUUACAAACUUCCACUCCGUUCUAUCAAUUUUGUUGGAAUUAAUAAUUCUGCGGAGCAUUUUUGCAGUGAAUUUCAGCGACCCAUUUGCCUAAUUAGUUUGUAGCAUAUUAUUCAAUGGCGAUGCAAUGCAGUAACUUUGGCGAAAGACGUGUAGUUGUGAAAAGAUGAAAAAGGAGAACGAUUGUGUAAUUUGGUUGUCAAUGUGUGCUUUAGGCUGAGCUAUUUAUGUCAAACAUUACAAGCCCCUAUAUUUAAGCAAAGAUGUGUAUAAAAGGUUUAGGAUUUUCUUAGCACCUUUAAUUCAAACAUGCUCAGUUUUGAAUUUAUACAUAACUAGAGUGUAGGGUUCCAACCACGUUGCUAAGUUGAGUUACUAGAAUUGGAUUGUCCUAUAAGGUUUAAAUUUCCCCAAGUUAUUUAUUGCAUUUUAGGAAGUGAUCUUACUGAUUCAUAUGAUGAUGAUGUUAUAUAAGUUCUUGAAUUGAGCUGUCAAACCACGAGCAUUGAUUAUAUCCAUUAUUUGGCACUUGCAAGAUUAUUUUUAUGUUUUUUUGAGUUCUAAAAGGUGUCAUUUUUUUCAGUUUUAGGUGAAAGAGAUACUAUCCCAUUAUCCAUCCAAUUACAAACCGUCUGCAGUGAUUCCAACAGCAGCAUGGAGGUUGGCUCCCUGUUUCAGCAAUGAAUGCGAGAUCAAGCAUGCAAGGGGAUGGUAGGAUCAACACAUCAAAGGAUGACUCAUACUUGGAUAGCUACAUCAGCACAAUCGGAGUUGAAUUUAAAAUUUGCAAGUCAUGAACACGGUGAAGUAUGGAUGAAUUCAAUUACCCCUUUACAAUUCUAGAUGGAAUGCCAUUGAAAGUAAUCAUUCUCACAUUCAUAUGAAUAAAUAAUGUUUCAGAUGUUAUGCCUGGUAGACAAGUUUCCAACGCUGAGUCCAAAGUAUAAGAAAUGAUGAGUUGUCAAGGUUGACUUCUUGCAUUUGGCUUAACACCUAAACAUGUCUUAUCUCAUCUACGUGUUGAUUACAUUUUGUUUGUGCUUAAUGGAAUGUUGAAAAAUGCUCAAGUGCAUGGUAAGUUCUUAUGAAUUUACUCUUUAACAGUGAGGUCAUUCGCAACCAUUUAUUUAAACGUUUGAUUAAGUAAACGUUUGAUUGUGUAUUUAUUUAAACGUUACAAUUAGUGAUAUACAUGCAAACGUUACAUUUUCUUUGAGCUGGAUUAGUUACAGAUGGAGAAGGGGGGAGGGUGUGGAAUGUCAGGGAGAGGAAGGGAGAGGGAGGUCUACAUCUCAGAGUCCAGCUCGAGUCCUCAGUUUCAGCAGCAGCGGCCACCACUCUUCCCCAAAGAAACAUGGACUUGCUUUUUUCUCUCUGCAGCGCUGCCCAUUUUCCACCAAAAUCACAUCUUAAACUCUUCCAAUUUCGAACACGAGAUGCCCGGAGAAGACCACCAAAUUGACACUCUUAUAAUAAAAAUUUAAAGAGGCCUGAGAAAACUAUGAGCUUCAACCUACGAAACAUUGUAAUGAUCAGUAUAUCAGAGCAAAGCUAAACAUAAUACACCUCAAAUUAGUGUAGAAAUUGUUGACUGCUGUGAACUUUUUUCAUUACGAGAAUCCAGUGACAGAACAAAGUAUGAUCUUAAGCAGCAACAAUUAAUCAGAUGAUAAGUAAAGGGUCAAAUCGAAACGAUAACCAAAGGAACUAGCCAAAACAUAACUCUCGCCUAAAUUUGAAUAAAAAAAAAAGUUGCAAAUGGGAACAAUAGCACAUUAGAAAACAUGAAUUUAGAGAUUAACAGAGUAAUUUUGAACAGCGAGCUACAAGAUGAACAGAAUGGAGUUCAAAAUUCAAGCGAAUCUACAACCUACCAGAAGCUCAACAUUAGGCUCAGCAAGCCAAAAAAAAAA